ACAAGCAUUUAUCCGACUGAAAGGAAUGAAUCUAAUACAAAUAGAAAUGACCCUGAAUCUGAACAUGUAUCUCAGUCUACGGGAUCGAAAGAUAGUUCUGAACUCCAAAUGUCUGGAAAAUACCAACAAAAGUCUCCUGCAUCUGAGCAUCUACCCCUUAGUUCACCAGACAAUUCUCAAUCGAAAGACAAAACUGAACUUUCAACGAUUGGUAAAUGCAAACUGGCUCAUGCUUCACUGAGAAAUAUCAUUGCAUGGGGUUCGGUUCUUCCAUCAGUGCCAGGUCAAAAGGUUCAUGGAGAUCCACUCCGGGAUGAUUGUGUCAG
This is a long non-coding RNA of Papaver somniferum (opium poppy), 326 nucleotides long. RefSeq lists it as uncharacterized. NCBI's taxonomy places the organism in Eukaryota, Viridiplantae, Streptophyta, Magnoliopsida, Ranunculales, Papaveraceae. The transcript is spliced from 3 exons. The record is from RefSeq and is a predicted model, not a curated record.